GACGAACGCUGGCGGCGUGCCUAACACAUGCAAGUCGAGCGGAGUCGAUCGACGGAAGCCUUCGGGCGGAAGAUGGUUGACUUAGCGGCGGAUGGGUGAGUAACGCGUGGGCAACCUGCCUCGAAGACCGGGAUAACAGCCCGAAAGGGCUGCUAAUACCGGAUGUGGUCAAGGGUCCGCAUGGAUUUUUGAUUAAAGGGGAAACCCGUUUCGAGAUGGGCCCGCGUCCUAUCAGCUAGUUGGUGAGGUAAAAGCUCACCAAGGCGACGACGGGUAGCCGGCCUGAGAGGGUGACCGGCCACACUGGAACUGAGACACGGUCCAGACUCCUACGGGGGGCAGCAGUGGGGAAUCUUCCACAAUGGGCGAAAGCCUGAUGGAGCGACGCCGCGUGAGCGAAGAAGGCCUUCGGUUGUAAAGCUCUGUCUGGAGGGACGAAGGAAGUGACGGUACCUCCGGAGGAAGCCACGGCUAACUACGUGCCAGCAGCCGCGGUAAAGAGUAAGUACA
Molecule: ribosomal RNA, 510 nt
Filed under: uncultured bacterium
Lineage: Bacteria
Description: bacterial SSU rRNA
Rfam family: Bacterial small subunit ribosomal RNA
Source: RNAcentral